RNAcentral lists this ribosomal RNA (253 nucleotides) under uncultured bacterium. RNAcentral's name for it is "partial 16S ribosomal RNA". It matches the Rfam family "Bacterial small subunit ribosomal RNA", at positions 524 to 776 of the family's 1533-position model. The record is from RNAcentral.
UACGUAGGUGGCAAGCGUUGUCCGGAAUUAUUGGGCGUAAAGCGCGCGCAGGUGGUUUCUUAAGUCUGAUGUGAAAGCCCACGGCUCAACCGUGGAGGGUCAUUGGAAACUGGGGAACUUGAGUGCAGAAGAGGAAAGUGGAAUUCCAAGUGUAGCGGUGAAAUGCGUAGAGAUUUGGAGGAACACCAGUGGCGAAGGCGGGUAGCUGGGCCGACACUGACGCUGAGGCGCGAAAGCCAGGGGAGCGAACGGG